GUGCAGGAGUCUGAGAAGAAAGGGUGUAGAUGGAGAGGCGGUGGCCUCACCUCUGCAUGCUCCGUGGGAAGCGGCGGAGGCGCCCAGCAUCCCUCCUACGCUGCCCUUGGUGGAGGUUUACGAGAAAACACGGCCAUCUUUAUGUGUAAAUGUUGUAACCUCUUCUCACCAAAUCAGUCGGAACUCCUCUCCCACGUUUCAGAGAAGCACAUGGAAGAAGGGGUUAAUGUUGAUGAGAUUAUUAUUCCCCUUAGGCCUCUGAGUACACCUGAACCCCCCAACUCAAGCAAAACCGGAGAUGAGUUUUUGGUCAUGAAGAGGAAGAGAGGCAGGCCUAAGGGGUCCACGAAGAAGUCCAGCACAGAAGAGGAGCUGGCAGAAAACAUUGUGAGUCCGACUGAGGACAGCCCGCUGGCUCCGGAGGAAGGGAACAGCCUGCCUCCAAGCAGCUUGGAGUGUAGCAAGUGCUGUCGGAAGUUCUCCAACACGCGCCAGCUGCGGAAGCACAUCUGCAUUAUCGUGCUGAAUUUGGGUGAGGAGGAAGGAGAAGCAGGUAACGAGUCUGACCUUGAACUAGAAAAGAAGUGUAAGGAAGAUGAUCGGGAAAAAGCCUCGAAAAGACCACGGUCACAGAAAACAGAGAAAGUCCAGAAGAUCUCAGGAAAGGAGGCCGGACAGCUUUCUGGGGCGAAGAAACCCAUCAUAAGUGUGGUUUUAACUGCACACGAAGCAAUUCCAGGUGCUACCAAGAUUGUGCCAGUGGAGGCUGGGCCCCCUGAAACAGGAGCUACAAAUUCUGAGACCACUUCAGCAGACCUGGUGCCUCGGAGAGGCUACCAGGAAUACGCCAUUCAGCAGACACCUUAUGAGCAACCAAUGAAGUCAAGCAGGCUAGGUCCCACUCAGCUCAAAAUCUUCACUUGUGAAUACUGCAACAAGGUCUUCAAGUUCAAGCACUCGCUGCAGGCCCACCUGAGGAUCCACACCAAUGAAAAACCAUACAAGUGCCCCCAGUGCAGCUAUGCCAGUGCCAUCAAGGCCAACCUCAACGUGCACCUGCGCAAGCACACUGGAGAGAAGUUCGCCUGCGACUAUUGCUCGUUCACCUGCCUGAGCAAGGGCCACCUCAAGGUGCACAUCGAGCGAGUGCACAAGAAGAUCAAGCAGCACUGCCGCUUCUGCAAGAAGAAGUACUCUGACGUCAAGAACCUCAUCAAGCACAUCCGAGACGCGCAUGACCCACAGGACAAGAAGGUCAAAGAGGCCUUGGACGAGCUCUGCCUGAUGACGAGGGAGGGCAAGCGGCAGCUGCUCUAUGACUGCCACAUCUGUGAGCGCAAGUUCAAGAACGAGCUGGACCGCGACCGCCAUAUGCUGGUCCACGGAGACAAGUGGCCUUUUGCCUGUGAGCUCUGUGGCCAUGGGGCCACCAAGUACCAGGCGCUGGAACUGCAUGUCAGGAAGCACCCCUUCGUGUACGUCUGUGCCGUCUGCCGCAAGAAGUUCGUCAGCUCCAUCAGGCUGCGCUCCCACAUCAAAGAGGUGCACGGGGCUGCCCAGGAGGCCUUGGUCUUCACCAGUUCCAUCAACCAGAGCUUCUGCCUCCUGGAACCUGGUGGGGACAUCCAGCAAGAAGCUCUGGGGGACCAGCUACAGCUGGUGGAAGAGGAGUUUGCCCUCCAGGGCGUGAAUGCACUCAAGGAAGAGGCCUGUCCUGGGGACACUCAGCUGGACGAGGGCCGGAAGGAGCCGGAGGCCCCUGGGGAAAUGCCUGCCCCAGCUGUGCACCUGGCCUCCCCGCAGGCCGAAAGCACAGCCCUGCCACCCUGUGAGCUGGAAACCACUGUGGUCUCCUCCUCAGACCUGCAUUCUCAAGAGGUGGUUUCAGAUGAUUUUUUGUUGAAAAAUGAUAGCUCCUCCGCAGAGGCUCAUGCUGCUCCUGAGAAGCCCCCAGACAUGCAGCACAGAAGCUCAGUCCAGACGCAAGGUGAAGUGAUCACACUACUGCUGUCCAAGGCCCAGAGUGCUGGGUCAGAUCAGGAAAGCCAUGGCGCCCAGAGCCCCCUAGGGGAAGGGCAGAACAUGGCUGUGCUUUCAGCUGGUGACCCAGAUCCCAGCAGGUGUCUCAGGUCAAACCCAGCUGAAGCCUCAGACCUCCUCCCUCCAGUAGCUGGUGGUGGGGACACCAUCACACAUCAGCCUGACUCUUGCAAAGCUGCCCCUGAGCACCGGUCAGGCAUCACCGCUUUCAUGAAGGUCCUGAACAGUUUACAGAAGAAGCAAAUGAACACCAGCUUGUGUGAGCGGAUCCGGAAGGUUUAUGGAGACCUGGAGUGUGAAUACUGUGGCAAACUUUUUUGGUACCAAGUGCAUUUUGAUAUGCAUGUCCGCACCCACACCCGGGAACAUCUAUAUUAUUGCUCUCAGUGUCAUUAUUCUUCCAUCACCAAAAACUGCCUUAAACGCCACGUAAUUCAGAAACACAGUAACAUCUUGCUGAAGUGUCCCACCGACGGCUGUGACUACUCAACUCCAGAUAAAUAUAAGCUACAGGCACAUCUUAAAGUUCACACAGCACUGGUAAGUAGCAAGCCCAAGCGGCAGCCCCGUCUCCCCUGGGUGCUCAUUGCUUUCUCAAGUUUAUGCUUAUAUGUAGGUGUCUCCGCUGCAGGUCAGCCCUGAAAACAUAGAGAGGUCCUUCUCCUUACACAGCUGUGCACGUGGCAGAGGCUUCCCAGGUUCCUUUCACAGCAAGAGUCUCUAAUACGUUGAAAAAAGAGAUUAGAUGGAAUAAAUUGUUUCCUGUGCAAAUUUUUUUAGCAUCAGAUAAAGUCUACAGAAGAGAUAUCUAUAGAGUAGAAGUAAAGUCAGAAUUUCUCAAAUGACAUUUUAAAGAAUAAUUAAUAGCAGAGAUAACAGUAAUAGCUCCUACUGAACGUGGUUGAGAGGUUGAAUUAGAUAAUGCUGUACAGUGAUGAGAACAGUAUUUGGUUCAGAGUAAGAGCAUAGUAGAUGUUGAUGACCGCUGUUGUCACAGUGUUGUGUUAUUUAUUUUAGUCUCUGGGAGAGAAUGUCUUUGAAGCACGUUUAUUUUAAAAAAGUGAAAUGUUAAUUCAAUAUGCUGUUAAUAUUCACAAAGGUAAAUUUCUUUAGGUCUUUGGUGGAGGAUCUUGUAACACAAUGAAUGAAUGCUUAUUUUUGCAAAUUCUAAUCUAACUCAAGAGGCUGACACCUGAGAGUGAUUUGAGACUUCUUCAAGUUAUAAAGGAAGCACAUCUGGCCCCAGGUGUGGUUCUGUUUUAAUUGAAUGCCUUUUUAUGCUACAGACAGCAAAAAGUGAAGCUUCAGACAUUUGAUGUGCUACCAUGGUUUCCUGGCAUAAAAAUCAUAACAGUUUGUCACUAAGGGUAAAGUCAGGUGUUUGGGUGUGGUAAGUAGGUCAGAGCAUGGGCUUUGGGGUUGGAUACCUGGAUUCAACACUGUCUCCAACACUCUCACAGGCCCUGUGGCCUUGGGCAAGUCACUUGUCUUCCCUGAGACCUGUAUGAAAUAGCCUUCUGUAUAAGAUACAUAUUUUUAAAAAAUGUAUUUUAUAUACAUCCACACACAUAUGCAUACACACACAUAUACAGAUGUGUAUAUACAUGUAUUUAUACACGUGCUUAUACACACCUACACACAUACACUUAUAUGCAUGUGCGCACACACACACACAUAUGUACAGUACUCUAAAGAACUUGGCACAGUGCUUGUCAUGUAAUUGACUGUGUACCGGCUAUCGCAUGUCAUUUGGCACUUCUCAUUACACAUUCUCUGUCCUUCCUUUUCUUUCUGUCUCUCUCUCUUUGAGUAGCAUGUGAAGGCAUGUUGUUUGUAAUUCUUCAUGGAACCGCUGUUACAUAGAUACUGAUUCCAGUACGCUAUUAUGGCCGGGAAAAGUGAGGUGGCAGAAUUCAUAAAAGUGAUUUUGCUGGAAACUCAUAUGAAGUCGGGAGGGAGUGAAGCCAAUAUGAGAACAAGUUCUUGGGAGAAGCCUUUGAAUAUGGCAAUAAAAACUAGGAAGCAGACUGCUGGGUUUUCACCCUGGCUCCCUAUUUACCACGUGUUUAGCCUUGGGAAAAGUCAUGUGACCUAUUUGCCUCAGUUUACCCAUCCUUGGAUGAGGAUGAAGUGAGAGAAUAGAUGUAAAUGCCUUAGAACAGUGCCUGGCAUGGAGCAAGCACUGUGUGUCAUGGACUGUUAUCAUUAUUGAUUCUACUUCUCCUUUUGGAACUUGCUGCUCUGGAUUUAGAGAUUUUGAAACAUAGGCUGAAAAAAUGACAAGAAAAGGGAAGUUGUAAGUGAGCUUUACCACCUGGGACUGUAUGUAUUUUUCCAUGCCCAAAUCUUGCCUGCCUGUUGUGAGGGACCCAUCGUUCAGCCCAGUGAUUUUCUUACCCCAGCUGCUGAUGCCCGGCCUCCUGGCCACAUCCUUGGGCCUCAUGAUCAGUGGGGGAGUGUCAGGAAUGUGCACUGAGAUCUUUGGCCCCAGUCACAUCUGCCUUCAUUCUUCUUAAUAAACCAGCAUUUAAAGACGUUUCUCUUUUCAACUUUCUAUGGUUAUCUUCCUUCUGAGAGGCUUAUCUCUUCAAUGUGAACAUGUAGGAUGGCAUCUGGGGAAAUACAUGUUGGGGGAAAGGGAAGGAACAGCUGCUGUCUUUAUCCUGUGGGUCAGCUCCUUGUGCAGUCUUAAUUCUCUUAUUACUUCUAGGAGUUGGGGUAUUUCCUCCACUGGGCAGAUUAGGGGCCUGGCAUUACAGAGUCGUUUGGUAACUUGCUCAUGGUCGUACCAUUGGUAAGGGACAGAGACAGAAUUCAAGCCCACAUUCUCACCACUGCCCGGGGUUGCCCAUUUUGUUGUAGUUGGUCAUUAACAGCAACCACAUGGUUCUUGGUAGGUCUCUUGGACACUUGUCCAUCAUCUGAAGGAAUGUGGUCGAGGCAGAUGUUGUGCCGUGAGGGCAGGGAUUGUGCUGAUUCUUUCUGUGCUGUUAAGUGGCAGUUGUGCUUUAUGCUACGAUAAUAAAAUUUCUAUGCAACUAACUGCAGGAGAAGAGCAGUGUGCUGAAUAAGGGGGUGUGACUCAGUUGACCUUAUAAAAGAGAUAUGCUAGCCUGCUUCUCAUUAGCUCUCACGUUUUCUUAGAAGUUGUAAGUUUAACUUCAAUCUUUUCCCUUACUGAUAUUUGCAGUUCUUCCAGCUGAAACGCUUUUAAAGGUGAAUGUGUUGCCGCUGCUCCCAAAGCCAGCCAGCGCUGGCUGGAGGCCCCCUCCUCUACGUGUCAGGCAUUGAGAUUUUCAAGUAGGAUCUGGUCCCUGCCUUCAGGGUGCUCUUGGUUUUGUGAAGGGGGAGCUAAACAAUAAACAGUAAUGGCAAAAUGGCAACGUGAGAGGGACAGUGACGUCAAUGCAACAAUGUACUGUCCGCCCA
RNAcentral lists this small RNA (5469 nucleotides) under Pan troglodytes (chimpanzee). Its description in RNAcentral is "retained intron". Lineage: Eukaryota; Metazoa; Chordata; Mammalia; Primates; Hominidae. The record is from RNAcentral.